AAAAAGUGAAACACUCAGUGCGAGUCUGAGCAAAACACAGAAGAAAGAGUGGACUUUUUCUGAGAGGAUUUUCUUUCAGAAACUGUUUGUCAGUGUGGCCGGGAACGGAGCUGUGAUUCACCCAGUGUGUGCAUCUGUCACCCUGG
Long non-coding RNA from Thalassophryne amazonica, 146 nucleotides. RefSeq lists it as uncharacterized. The transcript is spliced from 3 exons. The record is from RefSeq and is a predicted model, not a curated record. Lineage: Eukaryota; Metazoa; Chordata; Actinopteri; Batrachoidiformes; Batrachoididae.